This 468-nucleotide ribosomal RNA is filed under the name uncultured bacterium. RNAcentral's name for it is "partial 16S ribosomal RNA". It matches the Rfam family "Bacterial small subunit ribosomal RNA", at positions 28 to 507 of the family's 1533-position model. The record is from RNAcentral.
GACGAACGCUGGCGGCGUGCUUAACACAUGCAAGUCGAACGGAAAGGCCCUGCUUUUGUGGGGUGCUCGAGUGGCGAACGGGUGAGUAACACGUGAGUAACCUGCCCUUGACUUUGGGAUAACUUCAGGAAACUGGGGCUAAUACCGGAUAGGAGCUCCUGCUGCAUGGUGGGGGUUGGAAAGUUUCGGCGGUUGGGGAUGGACGCGCGGCUUAUCAGCUUGUUGGUGGGGUAGUGGCUUACCAAGGCUUUGACGGGUAGCCGGCCUGAGAGGGUGAACGGCCACAUUGGGACUGAGAGACGGCCCAGACUCCUACGGGAGGCAGCAGUGGGGAAUAUUGCACAAUGGGCGGAAGCCUGAUGCAGCAACGCCGCGUGCGGGAUGACGGCCUUCGGGUUGUAAACCGCUUUCGCCUGUGACGAAGCGUGAGUGACGGUAAUGGGUAAAGAAGCACCGGCUAACUACGUG